This 288-nucleotide ribosomal RNA is filed under the name uncultured bacterium. RNAcentral describes it as "partial 16S ribosomal RNA". It matches the Rfam family "Bacterial small subunit ribosomal RNA", at positions 334 to 620 of the family's 1533-position model. The record is from RNAcentral.
UUUACCUACGGGACGCAGCAGUGAGGAAUAUUGGUCAAUGGGCGAGAGCCUGAACCAGCCAAGUCGUGUGAGGGAGUACUGCCCUAUGGGUUGUAAACCUCUUUUGUCGGGGAGCAAAAGCCGGACGUGCCCGGCUGUGAGAGUACCCGAAGAAAAAGCAUCGGCUAACUCCGUGCCAGCAGCCGCGGUAAUACGGAGGAUGCGAGCGUUAUCCGGAUUUAUUGGGUUUAAAGGGUGCGCAGGCGGAUUUUUAAGUCAGCGGUCAAAUCGAGGGGCUGAACCCCAUCC